Non-coding RNA from Phalacrocorax carbo (great cormorant), 6210 nucleotides. NCBI's taxonomy places the organism in Eukaryota, Metazoa, Chordata, Aves, Suliformes, Phalacrocoracidae. The record is from RefSeq and is a predicted model, not a curated record.
UCCCCUACUCCCCCCACCGACACCGGGGCGGCUGUUAGUGGCCGUUAACGGCGGCGGGCGGGCGAUGGUGGCGGGCGGCGCCGUGCGGCUGCUGCCGCUCCCGCGUCCCCUCCUCGGUCGGGCCGCUGGGGCGAGGGGGUCGCUGUCCGGUUGCGCGAUCGCGGGGCGCGGCGGGCUGCGUGCCGGGCGCUGGGUCGCGGUGGCCUUGGCGGUGCCCGCUGGGGCCGGUUGGAAGGAGAGGCCGGGACAGCGGGAGCCGGUGUGGGUAGGGGAGCGCGGCCAGGAGCGUCCGCCCCAGGGGUUGCUGCAGCGUUUGGGUCUGGUACUCCGGUUGGGUGUGCGGGCCUGCGGGUUGCUGCUGCGCUUCGGGCCCCUGCUGCUCCUCUACCCGCUGAGCCGCCUGUGGCCCGGCCUGGGAGCCCUGUGGCUGCGGCUGCUGCGGAGGGCGGCCGAGGCUGCUGGCCCCACCUGCGUCAAACUGGGCCAGUGGGCCAGCACCCGGAGGGACCUCUUCUCCGAGGCCUUCUGUGAUGAGUUUUCCAAGCUGCACGUUGAGGUGAGCCCGCACCCAUGGGGCCACACUGAUGAGCUCCUGAGGAAGGCCUUUGGCGAGGACUGGACAGGCAUCCUCAAGUUCCAAAGCCGGGAGCCAGUUGGCUCGGGCUGCGUUGCCCAGGUGUAUAAAGCAUAUGCUGACCUCACGGCUAUUGCUGGCUCCCAGGCCAAGGAGCUAGCGCAACGCUCAGAGUUACGGUCCGCUUUUGAAGCGUGGGAAGUGUCAGGCUUUAAAGGCCUCCUCAGGUGGCUGAGGAGGAGGAAGAGCCAGGAGAUGCGGGAUGAGAGGAGCAGGGAGGAGCUGAGCCCAGCAGCCUGCUCCCAGGGAGGUCAUAUGAGUGGGAUAUCCCUUAUGGACCAGAUGGCCAAGCCACUCCUGAAUGCAAGUCCUUCAUCAGCCAGAUAUCUCACGCCUGUAGCCAUUAAAGUCCUGCACCCUGGGCUAGUCCACCAAGUCCAGAUGGAUCUGUUUCUCAUGAAGAUGGGUAGCUACAUCAUUGGACUUCUCCCUGGAUUCAAGUGGCUCAGUUUGACAGAGAUUGUGGAAGAGUUUGAGAAGCUUAUGAUUCAGCAGAUUGAUUUACGCUAUGAAGCCAGAAAUCUGGAGCGCUUCCGACAAAAUUUCCUAGAUGUCGAUUUUGUGAAGUUUCCAACUCCCCUUCGGCCUUUGGUAACAACAGAUGUUCUAGUGGAAACGUUUGAGGAGAGUGAGCCUAUUUCGCACUACCUGCAUGCAGAGAUUGCCACGGAGCUGAGGCAGAGACUUGCAAAGAUGGGCAUGGACAUGCUGCUAAAGAUGGUCUUUGUUGACAACUUUGUCCAUGCUGACCUGCACCCUGGGAACAUCCUGGUUCAAGGCACGGCCCAUGUCAGCACCAGCUGCAAGGAGCAGACGGCUAUCGUGGACCUGUGUGACACGCUCGUGGUGGAAGUGCAGCCACCCCUCAGGCGGCUCUGCCUGGUGCUGCUGGAUGCAGGGAUCGUGGCAGAGCUGCAGAGUGCCGACAUGCAGAACUUCCGGGCGGUUUUCACGGCUGUGGUCCAGGGCCAGGGGGAGAGAGUGGCAGAACUGAUCCUUCAUCAUGCCCGUGCUAACCAGUGCCAGGAUAUCGAGCGAUUCAAAGCUGAGAUGGCGGAACUAGUGACCAAGGUCCGGGGGAACACCAUUGCCCUAGGAAAGCUUCAGGUGGCAAACCUCCUCUCCAAUGUCUUUAAACUACUGAUGACCCAUAAGGUGAAGCUCGAGAGCAAUUUUGCUUCCAUCAUCUUUGCCAUCAUGGUUCUGGAAGGUCUCGGUCGUUCACUGGACCCUGAACUGGACAUCCUAGAGGCAGCUAAACCACUGCUCAUCAAAACUGCAGCUUCUGUCCUCAAGUAGACUCCUGGGGCUGCUGCCCUCUCGCUGCACAGUGUUACCGAUGCUGUCUGCGAGCCAGCUGAGAAAGAGGCUGAAGACCAGGUACCCUACCUGCAAAGAUACCAGAGUAUUUUUCUGACAUAAGGUUUCCUGCUUUUGGAGACUGCUGGCCUGAAGUGACAUGCUAGGCAAACCAGACCCCAAGCCCAACUCUCCAAAGACAGGUAUUUCAGAGAACAGACAUUUUUCUCAUCACAAUGCCUAAAGAAAGGGUGGCUUGUUACCAGGAAAAAAAAAAAAAAAAAUCUUCCUUUUUACAUUUUGGGCUUCUGCAAGUCAUUCCUCCUCGAGGGGAGUGGCAUACAUAUUCCGAGUAGUACACCUGCCCUGACAGUAGAAGAUCUACACUCUCCUGAAGCCCAUGUGGGAGGGUUCCAAGUUGUCUUACCAGGUUUUCUGAAGCACCUCUCUCACGUCACUGGGUCCCUGCCCUGCCCCCUACAGCAGCUCUGGCAGGAAGUAGCACAACUUUGUCAUGUGGAUGGGGACUUCUUCCCUCUACAUCUCUGCAACUCACGUGCAAUGGGAUGCUUGCAAGAGUCAGUUGUUAAUAAUGGCAACUGCAGUGGGUAAUUUACAUUGUGUUUUAGCAUGUACAUUUUCAUGGCUGCAGUUGUUUGGGGUUUUUUAAGACCCGGCUGCUCUCCAGCUCUCCACCCUGUAUUUCAUGUAACAUUAAUGUAGCAAGGUAAGUCAUAUGACAACAGCAUCACAUGAUUACACUUCCUAUUCUAUGUGGUCCUGACCUUUAAGAAAUUGCUAUUCUGGCUCCGCUCUGGAAGAAACGCAGCAGCAUGGAAAUUUCCCAGAAUUCAGCAGUGGAAGCCUUUUCAGGCCUGUAUUUAAUUUCCCAGCAGGCUUGUAUUAGCAGGGCAUAACCUUCCACCACUUCACUUGAGGGGCUCAUUCCCAUGGCAUUUCUCCUGACCUUCAUUCUUGCUCUUCACCUCCUAGUGUACUGUACGGCCCGUGCACCUGCUUAACUAAUGCCUUUCUCUGUCAUUUGCACCUCGAAAGCAGCUACAACCUGGUGUCUCUUUGCCAGGCUCUAGGUCUUGUGCGCUUUGAACCACUUUUGUAACUCCCAGGUCCUCUGUUGCUCCACUCUGGAUUGCAAAUCUCACUUUCACCAGCCUCAGACUACAACGCUCAGCCCUACAGGUGCUGACUCCUUGGAGUCCUGCAGAAAGAGCCAGCCCCCCGCAGGUAUCUCUGGGGCAGAAGCUCGGCCCUAUGGCUGUGCUGCGUAUUCAGUACCGAGGUAGCUCUGGGCUGCAGAGUUGGGUCUGUCAGCAGGGCCGCUGCACGCACUUAAGACAGAGGUGGACUAGGAUAAUAACUCCAGAAAGAAAGGCACGUAAAGGACAGAGCAGUGAAGAUGCACUCUGGCUGCAAUGAAAGGGAGAUGAAGGACCUCUCCAGGAAUAGUAGUUCCGCUUGUCACAACUGCACACAAGCACCCAAGCUCCAGCACAGCGACUCACACCUACAAGAUACCGAUCAGGUCUGUGAACUGCUCGAGGGCCUGCUUACCUGCUCUGCAGCGCCCUUUCGCUAGCAGUGAUGCCCGGAGCAUCAAAAGAUUCUGUUCUCUGAGGUACUGCUGGAGGUCACAGAGUUUUUGGCCUUCUUUUUCCACCUUCUGGCGUGAACAGUCUUUGCUCUGGAGUACUCUGGCAGCCUUCUGCUGUAUUUGUCGCCUGUCCUGCUCCUGUGAUUCUUGUUCCAACAUUUCCUGCCAUGCCUGCAUUCUGCUCCUGAGAAAAUCCUACGUAAAAAUAAAGACAAUUACAAUUGUACAGCUAGCUCUCAUGCUGAAUUUCAUCCACAGUUACCACUACAGAAGUCAGAAAUGGGUAUAAUCUAUGGAAAUUCAUUCUUUGCAUGCAGUAAGACUCCGUCUACUGCAGAGUAGGAGAAUUUUAGUUCCCAUCUUUCAUCUUUAUAUAUGUGUUAAAAAAGCACCUUCAUUUAUUUAUCUCUAAAUGGUAAAAUUAUAUUGGCUAUAGAACAGGUGAAAGACAAAAUACUCUGAAUGGUGCCACUGCUGGAAACAUGGUAGUACAGGAAACACACUUCUGAAGUAGCCCUCACCAGCCUUUUUUUCUCUUGUUCGAAGCUCCUUUCAUUGCGUUCAGCCUGCAACUCCUCUCUCAGCGGUCGCUGUGCCUUUAAGAACUGCCGCCUCUGACUUGCCUUCCUCUUCUCCCUCUCUGGCAUGAAGGAUUCCCUCCUGCUCCUCUCUGCCUCAGCAGCCUGGAGCAGUCCCAUGUGCUGCAAAGCUCUGUCUUUGUGCUCCAGCUGUUUCUCUGGCCCUUGCAGUGUUCUCUGACGCAAUUGCUGCCUGUUUCCAAAACAAAAUUUCUCAAAUUUCUCAGAAAGAACAAUAAAAGAAAAAGGGAGCGCAUAAGACACAACACAGAUUCUGGCAGUCUGUGCUUAGUUGAGAUUCCAGGACUCUUUGUUAGGUUAUGAGGGUUAAACCUGUGCCCUAAACAGAAGUGGCAAAACCCCCAAAAGGGCAGGCCCCUGGUGUCCACUAACCGCAGUCACCUGCUCACCUAACUACGCAGCCUGGUACAGCUGCGCAGCCCUGGCCCUGAAGAGCAGAGGCCACAGACAUGGAUCAUGCGGAUGGGGCUGUAGGACCAACUCAGCCAGCUGGAUGGCCAUGUGUAUUGGUGCUGGAGCAACAGGGGCGGGAGGAGAUGUGGAAGGAGGCAAGUCAUGGGGGCAAGGACCUGCUAAGCUUAAGCAGACUGUGGGGCCAGGGGCAGGGAACAGGGCUUUGGGAGGCAAAAGGACUUUGGGUCUGAGGAUGGGAUUGAAGGGAAUUUGCCCUUGGAGGUAAUGCUAAAGGUGCUGAGCCCACAUGUACCUGCUUGCCCAUACAAGCAUUUGUAAACCAUUUGUAAACCGCCGUGACCGCUCUGCAGAGACUCAACAUGAGGCACCAUGCAUGAUGCUCAGAGACUGAAUGAGAGCACCAGGGAGUAGACAUUACCAACCUGCUGAUAUUUACUGCAAAACCCAGUUAGCUUCUAGGUAUUACCUUUGGUUGUCCCCGCACAGCUGGCAUCGGGUGCCACCAGCCUCUUGCUGCUGCUCCCUCUUCAGCUGCCUCUGUUCCUCUUGCCCCCUUUUGUGCUCAGUCUUGGCUCUGUUGAAGUCCAUCUCUCUCCAUCUUGCCUGAGAUGUACCAUUAAGGAUUGAUUUCUAAGAGAAAAAACCCAAACCAAACCCGUAAUGUUAUCAGUAUAUUUUUCUAAUAUAAACUGUAAACUUACAAAACCAGAACAGCUGAGCCUUCUAAUGUCACUGCUGAGCUCUGGAAGCCACACUGGCUCACGAAUACUAUAGUCACUUCCCAUCCAUGAAACACCGAGUAUGAUGCUAAAACCUGUACAAAAGAUUAGGCUUAACUGACAAAGCAGUGCCUGAAAAUAUAAUUUUAAGGGUUCUUCAUAGGUCAGUGGGCUGUGCUGUUCUGGUUGUUCCGGUGUUGAGCCAAUGCUUAAAACUGCCCAGUCUUUGUGUCAGGUUCUGGAUUGGAUGGAAAACACAGGUUCUGACCACAAAUCAUAUUACAGAUUCCUUAUUAGAUUUUAUUAGAAACAUCUGCCUCCCUCUGGCCAAACACAAAAUCUUCUUGGAGUUCUGUGCAGGUGUACUAACUCUUCAUUCCUGUGUCUGAGAUUUCUACCCAUGGCCAAGCAGUCUUUGUGCUGUCUUCAGCAGUAGCUGCCUUUCAAGACUGGGUAGUGUUCCUAAUUUGCUUUUUUACAAGCAAUGUGCUGUGUAAAGAGAUGAAGGAGCACCUGCAAGGCCUCUUUUCACAGCCACAGUGCAGUAUUUAAUUCUUUUGUACUCCUUACGGUGCCCUGUAUGAGGGAAGGAGCAAGGAAACACCACCAAAACUUAGACAUGCAUUCCAGUUUACAUUCCUAGAGCUGUCUGGGGCUGGAACAGUUUCCACAAAAUAUCUUCCUCUCUCAAAUGCAUCCUCCCUUCUCCUAUUCCCAGCGGCAAUUAGCACGUUCCUGCCAAUAGCUGCUCCUCUGCAAACAGAAUGUCUCCUUCCAGUUCUUUCCUAACGACAUCUCUGAUACCACAAGCUGGAAAACACUACAGGACCUUCAAAUAAUGUCCCUGCCAGUCUUGUGUAGCAUUUUGACUGAUUUCUUUCAACACAUAGACCUGUAUGGCUUCCUAGCGGCAAUAAACACCUUUGUUCUCCA